CCAGUCGGCUGGGCGACCGCUGCCGCCAAUGUCGAAAGACGGCGGGGGAGGAAAGUCCGGGCUCCACGGAGAAACGGUGCCGGGUAACGCCCGGCGGGGGCGACCCCAGGGACAGUGCCACAGAGAACAGACCGCCUCGCGGCCCUCGAUCAACCGGCGCCUUGCGCCGGUGAGGGGCGUCGGGGUCAGGGUGAAACGGUGGGGUAAGAGCCCACCGCGCCUCAUGGCAACAUGGGCGGCACGGCAAACCCCACCGGGAGCAAGACCGAAUAGGAACGACGCGGCGGGCGACCGCCGGCCUCUCCGGGUCAGUCGUUCGGGUGGGUUGCUCGAGGCGACGCGCGAGCGUCGUCCCAGAGGAAUGGUCGCCGGGCGGCUCCGGCCGCUCACAGAACCCGGCUUACAGGCCGACUGGCAUU
RNAcentral lists this RNase P RNA (419 nucleotides) under Aureimonas sp. Leaf454. RNAcentral describes it as "Bacterial RNase P class A". It matches the Rfam family "Bacterial RNase P class A". From Rfam's summary of the family: Ribonuclease P (RNase P) is a ubiquitous endoribonuclease, found in archaea, bacteria and eukarya as well as chloroplasts and mitochondria. The record is from Rfam by way of RNAcentral. Lineage: Bacteria; Pseudomonadati; Pseudomonadota; Alphaproteobacteria; Hyphomicrobiales; Aurantimonadaceae.